GUGAGGAAUAUUGGUCAAUGGGCGCAAGCCUGAUCCAGCAAUGCCGCGUGCAGGAAGAAGGCCUUCGGGUUGUAAACUGCUUUUGUACGGAACGAAACGGUCCGGGUUAAUACCCUGGGCUAAUGACGGUACCGUAAGAAUAAGCACCGGCUAACUACGUGCCAGCAGCCGCGGUAAUACGUAGGGUGCAAGCGUUAAUCGGAAUUACUGGGCGUAAAGCGUGCGCAGGCGGUUUUGUAAGACAGGCGUGAAAUCCCCGGGCUCAACCUGGGAAUUGCGCUUGUGACUACAAGGCUGGAGUGCGGCAGAGGGGGAUGGAAUUCCGCGUGUAGCAGUGAAAUGCGUAGAUAUGCGGAGGAACACCGAUGGCGAAGGCAAUCCCCUGGGCCUGCACUGACGCUCAUGCACGAAAGCGUGGGGAGCAAACAGGAUUAGAUACCCGAGUAGUCC
Molecule: ribosomal RNA, 450 nt
Filed under: uncultured bacterium
Lineage: Bacteria
Description: partial 16S ribosomal RNA
Rfam family: Bacterial small subunit ribosomal RNA
Source: RNAcentral